CCUACGGGAGGCUGCAGUGGGGAAUAUUGGACAAUGGGGGCAACCCUGAUCCAGCCAUGCCGCGUGUGUGAAGAAGGCCCUCGGGUUGUAAAGCACUUUCAGUGAGGAAGAACGCCUGGUGGUUAAUACCCAUCAGGAAAGACAUCACUCACAGAAGAAGCACCGGCUAACUCCGUGCCAGCAGCCGCGGUAAUACGGAGGGUGCGAGCGUUAAUCGGAAUUACUGGGCGUAAAGCGCGCGUAGGUGGCUUGAUAAGCCGGUUGUGAAAGCCCCGGGCUCAACCUGGGAACGGCAUCCGGAACUGUCAAGCUAGAGGGCAGGAGAGGAAGGUAGAAUUCCCGGUGGAGCGGUGAAAUGCGUAGAGAUCGGGAGGAAUACCAGUGGCGAAGGCGGCCUUCUGGACUGACACUGACACUGAGGUGCGAAAGCGUGGGUAGCAAACAGGAUUAGAUACCCCUGUAGUC
This 465-nucleotide ribosomal RNA is filed under the name Vreelandella stevensii. RNAcentral's name for it is "partial 16S ribosomal RNA". It matches the Rfam family "Bacterial small subunit ribosomal RNA", at positions 338 to 795 of the family's 1533-position model. The record is from RNAcentral. Lineage: Bacteria; Pseudomonadati; Pseudomonadota; Gammaproteobacteria; Oceanospirillales; Halomonadaceae.